UACGAAGGGGGCUAGCGUUGCUCGGAAUCACUGGGCGUAAAGCGCACGUAGGCGGACUCUUAAGUCGGGGGUGAAAUCCUGGAGCUCAACUCCAGAACUGCCUUUGAUACUGGCGAUCUUGAGUCCGGGAGAGGUGAGUGGAACUGCGAGUGUAGAGGUGAAAUUCGUAGAUAUUCGCAAGAACACCAGUGGCGAAGGCGGCUCACUGGCCCGGUACUGACGCUGAGGUGCGAAAGCGUGGGGAGCAAACAGG
This 253-nucleotide ribosomal RNA is filed under the name uncultured bacterium. RNAcentral describes it as "partial 16S ribosomal RNA". It matches the Rfam family "Bacterial small subunit ribosomal RNA", at positions 524 to 776 of the family's 1533-position model. The record is from RNAcentral.